GUUCUGAGUUGUUUUCUAUUUUCCAUAAUUUUUGUGCUAAAAUUAAAAAUCAAUUUGGUGUUUCUAUUCGUGCUUUUCGUAGCGAUAAUGCCUUAGAAUAUUUAUCCUCUUCAUUUCAGCAGUUUAUAACUUCUCAAGGAAUUAUUCAUCAAACCUCUUGUCCUUAUACCCCUCCGCAAAAUGGGGUUGCAGAGAGAAAGAAUAGGCACAUCACUGAGACUGCUCGCACACUUCUCAUUGAGUCUCAUGCUCCACUGCAUUUUUGGGGACCUCUUGUCCUUACACCCCUCAGCAAAAUGGGGUUACAGAGCGAAAGAAUAGGCACAUUAUUAAGACUGCUCACACACUUCUCAUUGAGUCUCAUGUUCCGCUGCGUUUUUGGGGCGAUGCAGUUCUCACAGCUUAUUAUUUAGUUAAUCGGAUGUCUUCCUCUCCCAUACAGAAUCAGAUACCAUAUGCAAUAUCGUUUCCCCAAUCACCCUUAUACUCUGUUCCCCCUCGUGUUUUUGGGAGCACGUGUUUCAUUCAUAACUUAGCCCCUGGGAAAGAUAAGUUAGCUCAUCGUACUCUCAAGUGUGUCUUCCUUGGUUAUUCUCGUGUUCAAAAGGGAUAUCGUUGUUACUCACCUGAUCUUUGUAGGUACUUUAUGUCCUCUGACGUCACAGUUUUUGAGUCUAAACCUUUCUUUACCUCUUCUGACCAUUCUGACCACCUUAAUAUAUAUGAGAUCUUACCUAUACCGACCUUUACGGAGUCUACUAUAUAUCUUUCUUCACCUUCCGCCACAGAAGUCUUACCCGAGUCUACUAUAGCUCCUCAUUUACCUUUCGCUACUGAAGUAUUACCCAUUCCAACAGUUGAGGAGUCUAGCAUGGCUCCUCCUAGACUCCCUGUCACAGGAACACCGCUUUUGACAUAUCAUCGUCGUCUGCACCCAGCAUCAGGCCCAGCUGAUUCACGUCCUUCACCUGACCCUGCUCCUACUACGGACUUGUCUCUUCCUAGUCCAGCGAUUGCACUUCGGAAAGAUAAACGGACCACACUUAAUCCUAAUCCCCAUUAUGUCGGUCUGAGUUAUCAUCGAGCCCAGCUGAUUCACGUCCUGCACCUGACCCUGCUCCUACUGCGGACUUGUCUCUUCCUACUACACCGAUUGCACUUCGGAAAGGUAUACGGACCACCCUUAAUCCUAAUCCCCAUUAUGUCGGUGUUGUUCACCAUUGGCCCCUCUAUCACCUGGACAUUAAGAAUGCUUUUAUACACGGUGACCUUGCGGAUGAAGUUUAUAUGGAGCAACCACCUGGGUUUGUUGCUCAGGGGGAGUCUCGUGGUCUUGUAUGUCGCUUGCGUCGGUCACUUUAUGGUCUAAAACAGCCUCCUCGAGCCUGGUUUGGUAAGUUCAGCACAGUUAUCCAGGAAUUCGGCAUGAUUCGGAGUGAAAUUUGGUGAGAUUAGUCAGAUGAGACUUGUGUGUGAUAAUCAAGCUGCUCUUCAUAUU
Molecule: long non-coding RNA, 1498 nt
Filed under: Nicotiana benthamiana
Lineage: Eukaryota; Viridiplantae; Streptophyta; Magnoliopsida; Solanales; Solanaceae
Description: long non-coding RNA (NBEN_LNC031208)
Source: RNAcentral